GAGGGUGGGAGGGACGCGCGCGCCCGCGCGCUCCCAACGGCGGCCGGUUCAGGCUCGGCUCGGCUCACCUCAGUGCCUGCCGCCGCAGGCCAGUCGGCCGGAGGGCAGCUCCGUCCCCGCCCGGCCCCCCUGCUCGUCCCGCUCCCCAGAGCUCGGCCGCUCCUGGCACAGGCUGCGGCCCGACUGCGGCGCCAGCGGUCAGGUGACUCCCAACAACAUUACCCGCCCGCCGCCCCUGCCCCCCGCCCCCUCCCCCCCGCGCACACACCCCGCCCGCUGAUUGGACGCGGCGCUCCCCGCCGACGCGCAGCCGCCCACGCCGCUGCGCAGUGCGCAUGCGCGCCGCCGGCGGCACCCCGCCGGCAGCCGUUCCCCGGCGCAGCGCAGGGCCCUGCCGCCCGCCUCCGGCAACGGCACCGGCACCGGCAUCGGCACCAGCGGCGGCCUCCCCGCCCGCCGGAACAGCUUGAAGAGCCGUGGUGGCCGCGGCGGCUGGCUUGGGCGCUGGGCGGGCCGUUCGCCGCCUCCCUGAGGGGAAGGAGCUGAUGAUCCACACCUGCGGAGACUGGUUCUGCCAGCACUGGAGGGGAUUCACAACCUUUUUUUUAGAAACCUUUUGGAGGUGGGUUUCUCACAGUGCAAGGUAGGCACUUCUUGAAAUCACUUUCAAAGUUUAUCUCAGGAACACACUGUUUCUUUUCCCCUUUCCCUUUACAGAAUCACAGACUGGUUGAGGUUGGAAAGCACCUCUGGAGGUCAUCUGAUCCACCCCCCUGCUCAAGCAGGGCCACCUACGUCAGGCUGCCCAGGACCAUGGCUAGACGGCUUUUGAAUAUCUCCAGGGAUGGAGACUCCCAACAACCUCCCUGGGCAACCUGUGCCAGUGCUCAGUCACCCUUAUAGUAAAAACGUGUUUUCUGACCCUCCUGUGCUCCGGCUUGUGCCGAUUGCCUGUCACUGGGCACCACUGAAAAGAGCCUGUCUCCGUCAUCUUUAUACCCUCCCUUCAGAUUUGUACCUAUUGAUGAGAUUCCCCCCUCAGCCUUCCCUUAACAGGGAUGAAGUACUAAAGGAGGGCUGAAAUAGGCCAAGCUGCCUAGUCAGGGGCUAAGGUGACAUACCUACUCAGCAAAAACUUCUGGUGCUGUUCUUGCUGCUGUUGAAUGAUUACAGCACUUUUUGAGACUUGGUUUUUCUCGGGCAAACAUGUAAAUGUUGCAUUUAAUGACUGUGUCUUGGGUGUUUAUUGGAGCCUGGCUGCUGUUCCAGCCAGAGCUUACCUAGCCUGAGAGCUUCUCAAAACACCCUGCAAAAACACCUGAAAAAGUCAGUGAAGACUUAUUUAGACACCCUGGAUCAUGCAGCAGCCUACUGUUACUUUAUGCCUUGUACCAGAUUCAAUAUCCAGACUGGACAAAAGUAUCUUAGGCUUGAGUGUAGUCAUGGAAAACAGCCUGUAAGUAUGUUGGUGAUUGCUAGUUCCUAUUGCACGUUUUGCAUCUUUCCUGAAAUGAGUCCCUAUCUCUUGUUUGCAGAGCUCAUGUAGGGUCUUCAGUCCCCAGAAGAGACCAGCUGGGUUACAUGGUACUUGCUUUACCUCUCAACAAGCAUUCAGAGGGGUGAGGAAGAGGAGGGAAAGCAGAGGGCGUGAAGGGCUGCCGCUCUACCAGAAGGGUGGGAGAGAAUCAAAUUCUUGUGGGUACUUCUUUGCACACAGACUUAUUUCCUGAUAUGGAGAAUCACAAACAUGACCUUUAUUGCCCUGUGACGUGUUUUCCAACUGUUGUUUAGCUUAGGAGAUAAAUUUUCUUGUAUUCUUUCAUAUGCCACUAUGAUCUCUUUUGUCCUGUACAAAAUCCUCAUCUUUUUAUCCAUGUAGCAAAUUCUGGCUAUGCUGACUCAAACACGAUCCCAGUACAUAGCUGAUUGUACUAGGACUUUGUGCAAGACUGUUGUCUCUGGUUGGGUGUACUCCAUAGGAGGUCAAGACCCUUACAGCCUUUCUGAGAGAUGUGACCAUUUGUAGGAUCUCUGGAGCAAUAUUGUCUCUACCUGCUUUUGCCAAGCACACUGCUACUGCUGGGGCUUUAAGAGGGAGAGCUCGGCAGAGCAGUCUCCUGUUGACUAAUCUCUCAGAACACGCAGGGUCAGUUCAGGGUUUGUGAGUUGCUCGCAGGAGCAAUGUUCUCCGGAGUGUGUUGCACCUGUGUAUGUUACCUACUUCUCCUCACGUCCCUCCACCUCAGAAUGACUUGGAAAAUAUGGGAUUCUGGGGUUCAGGUGGAGUUUUGCAAGUCACGGUCAACCUGUUUACAUCUCUACGUGCAGCCAUGGCAGAGCACAGUCAUGUUUGGCCCUGAUAAGAUAUAAACCUUCAGCUCUGAGUGCUCAUUUGCAUGCCUUCCCGCCACGUGAAAGCAAGUUACUGCCUAAUAAAAUGCAAAUGCCUUGUACUUUACGACAAAUGCUGUAAAUCAGAAAUUGUGGUGAUUAUCUCACAUGAAGUCCCUGUAAGAAAGAGCAAAAUACCAAUGUUCUAGUUAAAUGCUUAUGAAUCACUACCCAGUAAAAAAUGACACCACCUGUCACGUUUCACGUACGGGCUCAGAAAAUGGGGAGAACAUACUGAACUGAGGCAGCUAGUGACUUUGUUGCACAAUGAUUAUUAUAUGACGCCAGGAGAUAUAUUACACUGCACAUUCCUUUCAGGCAGAGAAACAUAGCAGAAACUGCACAGCUGAUGUAGUGCUAGGAGAAGAAAUCUUAAAAUGAUAGUUUAAGUAACAAAACCAUUCAAUAUUUUGCAUGCGGAGAGUAGAACACAAAUUAGAUAUUUUUCUCUAUGAACUUAAUAAAUACAUACAGAAAUUAUGUGUAGGUACACAGUAGUGACUACUGCCUUAUUAAUAGAUUGUAAGGCGUAGGUAAGGAUGAACAAUCCAGGGGCGUUUUUAACAAUGUUUCUGGAACAAAGCAAUAAAUGAAACAGAAGCAUCCAGGAAUGCAAAUGAGCUGCCACUCUAGCUGGGAACGUAGGCUUUGGGAUUGGCAUUUAUAGCCUUUGUAGUAAUGUUUAUGCAAAAUUACACAACUCUAGGGUUGUGUGCUAAAUACUCCAAAGAGAGAGUAAAAUGGAAUAUGGUAUAUGCUGAGUCCUUCAUCUGCUAAGACAUUUAACAGGGUACAUGUCAAUAAGCAGAGGAGUAGUCCCACUAAGAUCUGAAUGAGCAAGCUUUUAAAAAAAUCUAUUCAAAACAUACCCUGUUCUGUUGCAUAUCAGGAAACAGGGAUAUUUUUUUUUCUCCAUCAUUUUGAUUUAUGUUAUUUUAAUACUGCUUGGCAGUUUCAUUGGUGGCAUAAUAUGAUUUAGAAGACUGAAAUAAUGUAACAGAAUGGGAAGGAAACUUCCAAGCACUGAUCUUAAAAAACAAGGAAUAGCAGAUAUUUUGUAUAAAAACAGUUUUGAGAAAAUGCUCUUGUGUAAUAAUCAAUAAUAACCAAUUUUACUGUCUUUGGAAAAUUAUUUUUUUCCCCAACUGGUCUCUAUAUAAGGCCUCUAAACCUGUGUGUCAAAGUACAUUCAGACCAGCUAAAAUGUAAACUGAUAUAUAAAUAAAACACAGUUUGAGAUUCUACCAGUUCUCUCUCUCAUUGUGCAAAUCUUGUCAUUUUGACUGAGAGAGGUCAUGUGUCAGCACUGUCAUCUUUAUUUGGAUUAGUGGCUGUUCUUCUACCAACAAGAAACUUAUAGCUGCUUUUAUAUUGUUGGCAGUUGCAUUCGUGAAGGCAUGAUGACUAAGCUUCACAUGUUUCUAUUAAUACAAAGUUGGCUGUCAUUGAUAUCAAUACUUGCUGUUGCAUAAAGCGAGAAAUACUUUAGAUAACCACUAAAAAAUUGGUAGAAACUUCUCAAAUGCACAUUGCAUUAUAGAUUUGCUUUUUAAAGUUCUCAGCUGUACAGUGCCAAGGAAGCUUAUUUCUGUCAGGACAUGAACAGCUUGCUUGUUUUUUCGUUAUUUGCCAAUCACAGUGGAAAUGAUGCAGCGCAAAAAACUGCUGACUGAAGAGUCAGUUGUAUUUUCUAGGUACUUUCUGGUUUUGAAAUAACAUUAUAGAUUAUCACAAGUGGUGCGGUUGUUUGAAUUCAACUUCUGCCAAGUUUUUGCACUGCUGAUGCCGGUAAGAAUAGAGAAAUCUACCUUAGAAGCUACCUCUGAAGUCCUAUCUUGUUAUUUUCAAUAUUAGAUAGAAAAUGAUGUUUAAAUUAAAUGUCUCAUUUAUCGUAUUUGUCAUUAAAUUCCUUAAAUGACAUUGUAUCUUAACAGUUACAUAAAGAGUACUAUUGCAUAUUGUAGAGCAGCCAUCUGCUGCUGCACGUAGCUGAUUUACUAGAACAGGGGAACAACCAGAAGGACGUGAGUUAAUGUGCACUGUCACCUGGUGCAAGUGACACAACUCCACUGGUACUAUAAAUCAGUAUACCCCCAUGAACGAUAAUAGAGAUGAUGAAUCUCUCAAUCAAGAAAGCCAGCAUUGUCAUGAGAUGAGGCCUGUGAUGGGGCUCUCUGACAAGCAAUGUACCAUCCUACAGGCCCUUAGUUGUAAUCUGAAAGCAAGUGCCCCCGCCGAGAGCUGAGCAGACUUG
Molecule: long non-coding RNA, 4645 nt
Filed under: Accipiter nisus (Eurasian sparrowhawk)
Lineage: Eukaryota; Metazoa; Chordata; Aves; Accipitriformes; Accipitridae
Description: lncRNA (ENSANIG00000008708.1)
Source: RNAcentral